GACGAACGCUGGCGGCGUGCCUAAUACAUGCAAGUCGAGCGAAGUUUUUCUGGUGCUUGCACUAGAAAAACUUAGCGGCGAACGGGUGAGUAACACGUAAAGAACCUGCCUCAUAGACUGGGACAACUAUUGGAAACGAUAGCUAAUACCGGAUAACAUUAUUUCUCGCAUGGGAGAUAUUUAAAAGUUGUUUUUGCUAACACUAUGAGAUGGCUUUGCGGUGCAUUAGCUAGUUGGUGGGGUAAAGGCCCACCAAGGCGACGAUGCAUAACCGACCUGAGAGGGUGAUCGGCCACACUGGGACUGAGACACGGCCCAGACUCCUACGGGAGGCAGCAGUAGGGAAUCUUCCGCAAUGGGCGAAAGCCUGACGGAGCAACGCCGCGUGAGUGAAGAAGGAUUUCGGUUCGUAAAGCUCUGUUGUUAGGGAAGAAUGGAUAUGUAGUAACUAUACAUGUAAGAGACGGUACCUAACCAGAAAGCCACGGCUAACUACGUG
Molecule: ribosomal RNA, 499 nt
Filed under: uncultured bacterium
Lineage: Bacteria
Description: partial 16S ribosomal RNA
Rfam family: Bacterial small subunit ribosomal RNA
Source: RNAcentral